UGAAUGGGGCAACCCAGCAUGUUGAAGACAUGUUACACCGUAAGGUGAGCAAACCCGGAGAACUGAAACAUCUAAGUACCCGGAGGAGAAGAAAACAAAAGUGAUUCCGUUAGUAGUGGCGAGCGAACGCGGAUUAGCCCAAACCAUUAAUGUUAAGGCAUUAAUGGGGUUGUAGGACUGCGAUAUUUGAGCUGUAAUGAAUUAGAAUCCUUUGGAAAGAGGAACCAUAGAGGGUGAUAGUCCCGUAUAAGUAAAGAACAGUAAGAUAGCAGUAUCCCUGAGUAGUGCGGGACGGGAAUAAUCCUGUAUGAAUCAC
This 316-nucleotide ribosomal RNA is filed under the name uncultured bacterium. Its description in RNAcentral is "bacterial LSU rRNA". It matches the Rfam family "Bacterial large subunit ribosomal RNA", at positions 115 to 446 of the family's 2925-position model. The record is from RNAcentral.